This is a long non-coding RNA of Manis javanica (Malayan pangolin), 3163 nucleotides long. RefSeq lists it as uncharacterized. Lineage: Eukaryota; Metazoa; Chordata; Mammalia; Pholidota; Manidae. The record is from RefSeq and is a predicted model, not a curated record.
GGUGGGUCUCCCGCCUGUGGAUUCCCUUGCUCUGCAGGGCUCCGCUGUCCGCAUCACAAGAAAGGAAGGAACCCCCACCUGUCCACUUCACCGGGUCCUGGGGCAACCGGGGCCGCCAGGUUGUAGUCCUUGAAGAGAACUCUCCAGAAGUCCAGGAUGGCAGCUGCAUCCCGGGUCAGGAGCCAGGAGAGGAGUGCGUGGAAGGCCUGUGGGCAGCCCUCCUUCUCCUUCAGACGCAGCGUCUCCUGAAGGAUGAGUUGUGUGUGUAUGGAGGGGCCCUGCCUGCUGCUUCCAGGGCUCCCCCAGUCCUGCAGCCCUCACAGUGGGGCUAGAGGGUGGUGGACCCCGAGGAGCGGCCUGGGCACCUUGGCUUGGGACAGAAGAGGAAGCCGAGGGCGCUGGGCCUCCAGGCUUGGGCCCUGAGAGUUCAGUUCUGGACAUGCUGAGAUUGCUCCAGGGAAGGCAGCAGGCAUUAUGGCGCUGUCCAGGGGCAAGCCUGGACCGGGGAGGCCGAGUGGAGCCCCGAGCACGGGGUGGAGAGUGUGAGUGGCGGGGGCUGGGGCUUGGCAUCACAGAGAGCCUGGGCCUGUGUGGAGUGCUGAGCUGGUGCAGGUCAGAACAGGCUGGCUCUCCCAUAGAAUGUCCCGGGGACUCUGGCGCUGCAGCAGGGCCCUCACGCUGCCUGCCUCUGGGGCUCUGUGCCCACUGGCUGCCCUGCUGUGAAGACAUGGGACUUGGGGCACUGCCAGCCUGUCCUGCUCUAUGCGUUCCACAGCUGCCCAGGGGGACCAUCCCUCAGGCCCCACCAAAGCUGGGCAGGGCCAGGCUGCCUGCUCUGAGGGCCAUCCUCUCCCAGCCCAAGCCCAGCAGCCACCUCCCAGCCUCUGCUCUCCCUGCAAGUGUGAGAAAUAUGAAAGAAAGCAUUAAGUUGGGCUCAGCCCUAAACCCAGCACCGGGGGGCUCCUGCCAUCCUCUGGGGUGCUCCCAACCUCCUUACUCAUGUGGGCCCAGGUCUCACAAAAGCAAAGCCCCUUCGUGUCACAUCUCUUGGUACCAACUGGGCAGCAGUCUCCAAAAUUGCCACACACAGGCACCCAGUGGUGCGGGGACCUGGCUUGUGGCUUUGGGGGCAACCAGUAAGUGCGGCCCUGUGGCAACUCAGCAUCCCUUUCUGGGCCUCCCUAUCCUCUGCUGGCACCCUGCACCCAGUGGAUUUUUUCCCCCCGGGUGGCUCAGAUGUUGUCAAGGGACACCUUAGCCAUGGGGCAGCUGUUCAAGGGGAACUGAAAAACUGCUGAGAUCAAAGUCCUCACUGCACAUUUACAGACAUGAAAUCCUUGCGAAUGCACCUGUGUCACCAGCUUGGCCACCCUGCCAUGGGCGCCACCGAGCUUCCUGCUUGGAGAUUAACAAAGAGGCGCCUGUAGAAUUUUGGACUUUCCACCACCCUGGGGGUUUCCGUGGCAGCCCCUUACCACAGGUGACCAGAGCUACCAGGAUGUGUGGAGGCAGGGGCCCGAGGCCAGGGCCCCAGCCCAGCCUUCAGCAGGCCACUGCCUUCAUGGGGUUAAACCUUGGUUCCUUGGCCAGGCGUGGGGUGCAGUGACUAGGCAGGCCUGCAAACCUCUGGCCUCACCUGCAGGGGAGUGAGCCUGGCAGCCCUUCCUUCAGCGUUGUUAUUUCCCAUGUCAGGCUCUGCUAGCCCACCAGGCCCCAGGCCUGUGCUGACUCCUUUUCAGCUGCAAUGUCUGUUAGGUUGAUGUGAUUAUUAUCCCCACUCUACAGAUAAGGAGGCUGAGGCACAGAGAGGUCAAGGGACUUGCCCAAAAUCACACAGCCAGUAAAUGGCCUUGGGUAGAUGAUAUCCAUGGUCUAGCACACAGGACAGUCCUUUGGUGCCCUGUCAGGUUUGUCAGCUUGCAAAGUGGGGCAAGUGCUUCCUGGGUGACACACCCAGAGGUCAGGGAGGAGGGAGGUCCCAGUGUCAGGGCAGGGUAGGACUAGAGGGGCCCUGUUCCUUGGCUGUAUGGCCUUGGCUGCCUCAAGGACGCCUGGAUGCUGAUCCUUUUCCCUUGCCCCAGGUGGAAACUUCAGUCUGUGCUGCUCUCCCAAAAGGGCUGGGGUCUCAGGGGUCAGGAGUUCUGAGUCAGAAUGACCUCAGGGUACUUGGAAUACCAUCCCAGGCCCAUCUCAAGGAACAGGGCAAGGGGGACCUUGGACACUACCCCCUGAGUACCUCCCAGGUGGUGGGGCACCAGUGGAGGUUUGGUCUCCUGGUCACACUUUACCAGGACUUUCACACCCUCUUGGUCACCAGCUAGCUGUGUGAUCCUUUCUGGGCCUCAGUUUCCCCAUGAAAGAUGCUGAACAUCACUAAUCAUUAGAGAAAUGCAAAUUAAAACCAAUUGAGAUACCACUUCACACCCACUAGGAUGGCAAUUACCAAAAAACAGAAAAUAACAAGUGUGGGUAAAGGUAUGCAGAAAUCAGAACCCUUGGACACUGACAGUUGGGAACAUAAAAUGGUGUACCCACUGUGGAAAAACAUUUGGUGGUUUCUCAAAACAUAGAAUUAAAACCAGCGAUUCCACAGCCAGGCAUACACCCAAGAGAACUGAAAGCAGAUGUCCAAACAAAACUUGGACACGAACAUUCAUAGCAGCACUAUUCACAGCAGCCAAGGGUGGAAACAAUCCAAACAUCCAUCUACGGAAGAAUGGAUAAACCACAGGUGGUCCAUCCGUGCAAUAGAGUGUUACUUAGCCAUAAAAAAGAGUGAAGUACUGAUACAUGCUACAAUGUGUAUAGACCUAUAAAACAUGCUAAGCAAAAUAAGCCACAUAUGGUAUGAUUCCAUUUACAUGAAACACCCAGAACAGGCAGAUCCAUGGAAGAGCAGAUUGGUGAUUUCCACUGGCUGGGGAGACGGGGAAUAGGGAGUGACUGCCUAGUGAGUACGACCUUUCCCUUUGGGGAGAUCAAAAAGUUCUGGAAAUAGUGGUAAUGCUUAUGUAACAGUGUGAUAUACUAAUUGCUACUGAAUUUUGAAAUUUCAAAUGAUUAAAAUGAUAUGUUUUAUAUUAUGUGUAUUUUACAGUAAUAAAAGUUAAUUCUAAGAAUCAGUUGGGCAUAUUUGUGUGGGUGCAUUUCUGGGUUCUCUAUU